UCAUCUGGAGAGGAACAAGAUGAUAGAAUCUUAAAAUCAUCAAGAGAAGCAGUAUGAUCUGACUCUUGAUGAUUUUAAGAUUCUAUCAUCCUGUUCCUCUCCAGAUGAACU
This is a non-coding RNA of Paramuricea clavata, 111 nucleotides long. The record is from the annotation of a GenBank genome assembly. NCBI's taxonomy places the organism in Eukaryota, Metazoa, Cnidaria, Anthozoa, Malacalcyonacea, Plexauridae.